Molecule: non-coding RNA, 86 nt
Organism: Acanthosepion pharaonis
Lineage: Eukaryota; Metazoa; Mollusca; Cephalopoda; Sepiida; Sepiidae
Source: the annotation of a GenBank genome assembly
UUCACGUACGAUCGCCGAAGUUAAACAAUGUCGAGCCUGGUCAGUACCUAGAUGGGUGACCGCUUGGGAAUAUCAGGUUCUGUAAG